This 197-nucleotide small RNA is filed under the name Staphylococcus aureus. RNAcentral describes it as "HMPRFS0000_1274". Lineage: Bacteria; Bacillati; Bacillota; Bacilli; Caryophanales; Staphylococcaceae. The record is from RNAcentral.
UUUAAUCGCUUCAUAUGCUUUAUAUUGGUCUUCUGUUAAUUGCUGUUUUGAUUCUUGUUCGAAAACACGAUCUUUAAAUGGGUCUCUUUCAACAACCGCGUCAUAUUUUUCAACAUAACCUUUUUUGAUAAGUCCAUCUAAACUGGAUUUUGAAAAGCCCAUAUCCUCAAUAUCAGUUAAAAAUAUUGUUUUAUGUU